This 285-nucleotide ribosomal RNA is filed under the name Triticum aestivum (bread wheat). Its description in RNAcentral is "partial small subunit ribosomal RNA". Lineage: Eukaryota; Viridiplantae; Streptophyta; Magnoliopsida; Poales; Poaceae. The record is from RNAcentral.
AAAAAUUAAGGUGGCAUGGGGUUUGAAGACUUACAUUGUUUCAAAAAAGCAAUGCUAGCAAAACAAUGUUGGAGAUUAUUGUCUGAACCAUAAUCACCAUGUUCUCAGGUCCUUCAAGCUAAGUAUUAUCUAGAUUAGGACUUCUGUAAGGCUAUGUUGAAGAACAAAUCGUCAUACACAUGGCGGAGCAUUCUAUUUGGUUUGAAAACUCUUAAACACGGAGCUAUAUGGCGACCUAGAGAUGGUGCAACAAUUAAUUUUUGGAAGGACGAUGGAUCCCGAUGA